This 374-nucleotide ribosomal RNA is filed under the name uncultured bacterium. Its description in RNAcentral is "bacterial SSU rRNA". It matches the Rfam family "Bacterial small subunit ribosomal RNA", at positions 30 to 409 of the family's 1533-position model. The record is from RNAcentral.
AUUGAACGCUGGCGGAAUGCUUUACACAUGCAAGUCGAACGGUAGAGGGGGCAACCCCUUGAGAGUGGCGAACGGGUGAGUAAUAUAUCGGAACGUGCCCAGUCGUGGGGAUAACGUAGCGAAAGUUACGCUAAUACCGCAUACGAUCUAAGGAUGAAAGCGGGGGAUCGCAAGACCUCGCGCGAUUGGAGCGGCCGAUAUCAGAUUAGGUAGUUGGUGAGGUAAAGGCUCACCAAGCCAACGAUCUGUAGCUGGUCUGAGAGGACGACCAGCCACACUGGAACUGAGACACGGUCCAGACUCCUACGGGAGGCAGCAGUGGGGAAUUUUGGACAAUGGGCGCAAGCCUGAUCCAGCAAUGCCGCGUGCAGGAU